GCCUGAGAUCCGAUAGGCGCCCCCCUCGGGGGGUGAUUCGGUGAUCCUAUGCUGCCAAGAAAAGCAUCGACGCGAGGUUUUAGCCGCCCGUACCCCAAACCGACACAGGUGAUCAGGUAGAGAAUACUAAGGCGAUCGAGAGAAUCAUGGUUAAGGAACUCGGCAAAAUGCCCCCGUAACUUCGGGAGAAGGGGGGCCUGCCCCGUGACCGCCACUUGCUGGCGUGAGCGGGUGUGGGCCGCAGAGACCAGGGGGAAGCGACUGUUUACUAAAAACACAGGUCCGUGCGAAGUCGCAAGACGAUGUAUACGGACUGACUCCUGCCCGGUGCUGGAAGGUUAAGAGGACCGGUUAGCGCGCUUGCGUGCGAAGCUGAGAAUUUAAGCCCCAGUAAACGGCGGUGGUAACUAUAACCAUCCUAAGGUAGCGAAAUUCCUUGUCGGGUAAGUUCCGACCUGCACGAAUGGAGUAACGACUUCCCCGCUGUCUCAACCAUGAACUCGGCGAAAUUGCACUACGAGUAAAGAUGCUCGUUACGCGCAGCAGGACGGAAAGACCCCGAGACCUUUACUAUAGUUUGGUAUUGGUGUUCGGUGCAGCUUGUGUAGGAUAGGUGGGAGACGUUGAAGCCCGGACGCCAGUUCGGGUGGAGUCAUCGUUGAAAUACCACUCUGGCUGUACCGGUCACCUAACUUCGGCCCAUGAUCUGGGUCAGGGACAGUGCCUGAUGGGUAGUUUAACUGGGGCGGUUGCCUCCUAAAGAGUAACGGAGGCGCCCAAAGGUUCCCUCAGCCUGGUUGGCAAUCAGGUGUCGAGUGUAAGUGCACAAGGGAGCUUGACUGUGAGAGCGACAGCUCGAGCAGGGACGAAAGUCGGGACUAGUGAUCCGGCGGCACGUUGUGGAACGGCCGUCGCUCAACGGAUAAAAGGUACCUCGGGGAUAACAGGCUGAUCUUGCCCAAGAGUCCAUAUCGACGGCAUGGUUUGGCACCUCGAUGUCGGCUCGUCGCAUCCUGGGGCUGGAGUAGGUCCCAAGGGUUGGGCUGUUCGCCCAUUAAAGCGGUACGCGAGCUGGGUUUAGAACGUCGUGAGACAGUUCGGUCCCUAUCCGCUGCGCGCGCAGGAAAUUUGAGAAG
RNAcentral lists this ribosomal RNA (1136 nucleotides) under Paeniglutamicibacter psychrophenolicus. RNAcentral describes it as "partial 23S ribosomal RNA". It matches the Rfam family "Bacterial large subunit ribosomal RNA", at positions 1554 to 2669 of the family's 2925-position model. The record is from RNAcentral. Lineage: Bacteria; Bacillati; Actinomycetota; Actinomycetes; Micrococcales; Micrococcaceae.